GUUGGGGUAGCUCAGUUGGUUGCGCAUGAGUCUCUUAAUUUCAGAAUCGUGGGUUUGAGCCCCACACUGGGCA
Molecule: non-coding RNA, 73 nt
Organism: Podarcis lilfordi (Lilford's wall lizard)
Lineage: Eukaryota; Metazoa; Chordata; Lepidosauria; Squamata; Lacertidae
Source: the annotation of a GenBank genome assembly